This 466-nucleotide ribosomal RNA is filed under the name uncultured bacterium. RNAcentral describes it as "partial 16S ribosomal RNA". It matches the Rfam family "Bacterial small subunit ribosomal RNA", at positions 29 to 523 of the family's 1533-position model. The record is from RNAcentral.
AGUGAACGCUGGCGGCGUGCUUAACACAUGCAAGUCGAACGAGUAAGUGUCUGUAGCAUACAGAGGUACUGCUAGUGGCAGACGGGUGAGUAAUACAUGGGAAUCUGCCUCGAAGUCUGGGAUAACUACUGGAAACGGUAGCUAAUACCGGAUAUUGCCUAAGGGUGAAAGUUUUUCGCUUCGAGAUGAGCCCAUGCAAGAUUAGCUAGUUGGUAGGGUAAAAGCCUACCAAGGCAAAGAUCUUUAGCUGGUCUUAGAGGAUGAUCAGCCACACUGGAACUGAGACACGGUCCAGACUCCUACGGGAGGCAGCAGUGGGGAAUAUUGGACAAUGGGCGAAAGCCUGAUCCAGCGACGCCGCGUGAGUGAUGAAGGCCUUCGGGUUGUAAAGCUCUUUCAGUAGGGAAGAUAAUGACGGUACCUACAGAAGAAGCUCCGGCUAACUUCGUGCCAGCCGCCGCAGUAA